CUGCUAUCUCUCCAAAGAAUGUCUCUCGUUUAGUCUACCAUCUUUCUAAAGAAUCCUUUAGUACAUGUUCUUACAUGUGAACAGUAUCAAAGGUUUAUUUUCAUUUUUCGCCCAAAGAUCUUUAGUAUCGGUGCUUUAUAAGAACAGUACUAAAUGUUCCUUUUCAGUGCGCGCUCAUAUGUCUUUAGUACCGGUUCUUAAUUUGUAGGAACCAAUAUUAAAAUGCCCCCUGAUAACUUUGGCUUUCUUCAUGCCCUUCUCAUUCUCUUCUUCUUGUGCCCUCCUUGGUGAGCUCGUCAAGCUCUCUCCUUGCACCACCAUUGCCUUCGUCGAGCCCAUGCACCUGUGCCUUCCCCAUUCCACCACUGCUCCUAUUGACCCUGAAAGGAUCACGAUGCCCAAGAGAGGGGGUGAAUUGGGCUUUUCUAAAAAUCAACACUAAUUAAAAGCUAAGCAAGAGCCCAACUUCACCCCAACAACUAGCACUAAGAUAAUAAUACUAGAAAUACAAUCAUGCUAAGACAAUACUUCAAAUACUUGCUAAACAAAUACACAAUGUAAAG
Molecule: long non-coding RNA, 563 nt
Filed under: Zea mays
Lineage: Eukaryota; Viridiplantae; Streptophyta; Magnoliopsida; Poales; Poaceae
Description: drought responsive lncRNA
Source: RNAcentral